CCCAAGAGAGAGCAUUAUCGUGGACGCCGGUGAGCAUCCUUCCUCCUUUUGAAUUGUAUGAUUGUAUCGAAUUGCCUCUGGUCAUAAACAGCAAGACACUGAUGGAGGAGCCGUCCAGCUCAUGCUGUGAUUGUUCCAGCUUUCUGUACUAAGAAAUCACUGACUGCCAGGAAAGGGAAGUGGACUGUGCCACAGGUAUGAUCUAGCAAUUUGUCAUGUGGUUCCCUCUUUGCAGUGUGUUGCUUCUUGUUUUUUAUGGUGUUCUGAAUGCAGCUUUGCUUUGCUUUGCACCCGAUCUCUUAUUUUGGAAUGACCAGUUAACUAUUAGGAUGAUGUCAUGAUGAGACCUACCCUGCAUCCAUGCAUCGGGCCUUCUGCUCCAUGGAUCGGAAGUAAGAUCCUUCCUGUCGUAAUAUAUGCCCAAGGACACCAACCCCUUUGAUGUUUCUAGAGAAUCUGAAACUUCCUGUGUUACGUUUCCUAAGAUUAUUUGCUACUUUAUACUGUCUUUCCGUUGUGGCUGGAUCAGGCACUAUCUGAUGCCAUGUAAUACAUGCCUCUAAGGAGGUGUUUGGUUCAACGUUUCUUGCCCGUGAUCUAAUUACACUGGUAUCUGAUAACGUUAACUGUGUUUGGAAAGGACAGCACGUAAUCAAAUCCCGUGUAAACAGAUCCCGUCGCUGUCUAAGGUCGAUUCCGCCCACCCCCCAGCGUAAACGCGUUACUUUACCCUUUGCCCCCUGAGCACUUUGUUCCUAGUCCCUGAUCCCCUCUGUCUCCGCCUCCUCGCAUCCCCUUCCGCCGCCACAAGCUUAUCAGCCUGGACAGAUCAAGUCGCCGUCAACGGCGACGGCGCCAGCGCCGACGGCUGGCAGUGUGAGAAGGCCGGCUGGAAGCUGGUGGUGGACUGUGCCGGACAGGGCAUGUCGUUCGUGGAAGCUGAGCGGCAUCGCCAUCGACAAACUUGACGAUGGGAGGUGUUUCUUGCUCAUGUACGACGACCACAUCUACAAGGCCUCGCCGUCGGGCGUGCUGCUACCCGCCAUCAUCGACGCGCCCCUCGUGCAUGAAUAGCUGACGCGACUCGAGUCCGGAGGCUUCACGCUCGGCCAUCAGAAUUUCUACGGCGUCAGCAAUGUCCGCCGGCGUGGCGUAGUACGGCUGGGAGAUCACUUCUGGUGCCCGUGUCAUAGGUGCAUCCCGUCUCGGCCAAGGAGAUACAUUUUCUAGGAAGGAAUCGAUUGACGUUACAGGCUGCAACCAAACAAGUUUGUGUUUUCUUCGAUUACGUUAACAGUAACAGCGUCAUUUCAUUACGUUUACAUUUACGUUAACUCUAACAAACCAAACACCUCCUAAGCAUCAACCUUUAUGCCGUAUCGAGAAUGGCAGAAACUCCCUUGUUAGAUUUGCUAGGAAAGUAUGCUACUCCCUCCGAUCCAAAAUAAGUGUCGCAGUUUUGAACCGACCCCAGUUAAAAACUGCGACACUUAUUUUGGAUCGGAGGUAGUACCAUGUAAUAUAUUAUUUGCAGUUACUAUGUGCGCCGUCUAGGAUUGUGUGCUACUUACCCCCAUUGUUUGUGUGAAUAGCUUGUUUUUGUAUACAUGCGUUGCAGGACAUAGGUCCGCUUUUCAUGCAAAAGGGCACACCUGACAACCCAAGAGGCGCACAAAGGCGCGCUGAAGCAAAAUCAUUCUCUUGCAGGCCCUGUAGCUUAGCAGAUGUGUGCAGGUUUGCCUGUAAUCUAUAUUUUGUAUUUCAUCUAGCUAAGUUCAGCAAACACUAGUUUGUUUUCUUACAUAACGACUGAAGCAAAAUUAUUCUCUUGCAGACUCUGUAGCCUACUGUUUAACUGCUAUUGUUGUUGGAACCAUUGGCUAUUUAUGCAUAAGAUGGAAGGUGAACUCGGAUUUUUGCAAGGGAAAUUGGAUUUUUUCUAGACGGCUUGCUCUUCGUGAUUAGGAUGGUACUAAUGAACUGAUGGCAGGCAUCAAG
Molecule: long non-coding RNA, 1998 nt
Filed under: Hordeum vulgare
Lineage: Eukaryota; Viridiplantae; Streptophyta; Magnoliopsida; Poales; Poaceae
Description: long non-coding RNA (HVUL_LNC003202)
Source: RNAcentral